RNAcentral lists this long non-coding RNA (1041 nucleotides) under Canis lupus familiaris (dog). Its description in RNAcentral is "lncRNA (ENSCAFG00845027199.1)". Lineage: Eukaryota; Metazoa; Chordata; Mammalia; Carnivora; Canidae. The record is from RNAcentral.
UUUUUUUUUUUUUUUUUUAAGUAAUCUCUGUACCCAAACUGGGGCUCGAACUUACAAACCUGAGAUCAGAGUCUCGGGCUCUACCGGCUUAGCGAACCCGACACCCUUUACUCUCUUUUAAAAAUGACAAGAUUGGUACCGUUCCAAACAGCAGUAUUCUGUCUGCAUCAAUUGAUGCGCAGAACACUGAAAUAGGUAAUAUAAUGAUGUCGUAUUAUGAACAAUAAUUUAAAUUUGAGUAGCGAUUGUGCAUUUCUUUCAUCCAAGAUUAUUUCCCUUAGGAAGUAUGACAUCUAUUUUGAAAUACGUACGUUUAUUUAUUUGGAGGAAUUAAAUCUUGUAUUGCCACAGGAUGGAAAUUUAAUUGCCAUUCGAAGACCAUCCACGGGUCCUCAUCACAUAGAGGAAAGUCCACAUAACUGGAAGUCUGCUGUAGCAGAAACAGACCUAUUCACAAACGUCCACCCCCAACUCCAAUUUUUUUUUAGGAAAGAUAUUUGGGGUUGGUGUAUUUUAUUCUUGCUGACGAACAGAGAGCCAGCUAAUGUCAAGAAGCUUGCAAGCCACAUUCAGAAAGGAGUCAAAUGCUACUUUACAAAAUAAUGCUGAGGGAAAAAUCACAUUUGAAAGACAAUGUGUGUUCGCUGAGUAAAAUUAAUGCUAAUUUGGAGGAUGCCUGGGUGGCUCAGCGAAUUAAGCGCCUCUGCCUUCCACACAGGUGAUAAUCCCAGGAUCCUGGGAUAGGAGGCCUGAAUCAGUCUCCCAGCUCAGUGGGGAGCCUGCUUCUGCCUCUCCCCCAGCUCACGCGCUCUCUCUCAAAUAAAAAAAUCUUUUUUUUUUUUUUUUUAAAGAUUUAUUUAUUAAGAGAGAGCGAAAGAGAGGCAGAGACACAGGCAGAGAGAGAAGCAGGCUCCAUGCAGGAAGCCCGACGUGGGACUCGAUCCCGGGUCUCCAGGAUCACACCCCAGGCUGCAGGCGGCGCUAAACCGCUGCGCCACCGGGGCUGCCCUCAAAUAAAAAAUCUUAAAAAAAAAAAAAAAA